AACGAACGCUGGCGGCAGGCCUAACACAUGCAAGUCGAACGCUCCGCAAGGGGAGUGGCGCACGGGUGAGUAACACGUGGGAACCUACCUUCUGGUACGGAACAACCAAGGGAAACUUUGGCUAAGACCGUAUACGACCUCCGGGUGAAAGAUUGAUCGCCGGAAGAGGGGCCCGCGUCCGAUUAGGUAGUUGGUGAGGUAACGGCUCACCAAGCCUUCGAUCGGUAGCUGGUCUGAGAGGAUGACCAGCCACACUGGGACUGAGACACGGCCCAGACUCCUACGGGAGGCAGCAGUGGGGAAUAUUGGACAAUGGGCGCAAGCCUGAUCCAGCGAUGCCGCGUGUGUGAAGAAGGCCUGCGGGUUGUAAAGCACUUUCAGUAGGGAAGAAAAGCCGAGUGCUAAUAUCACUCGGUCUUGACGUUACUUACAGAAGAAGCACCGGCUAACUCCGUGCCAGCAGCCGCCGUAAU
RNAcentral lists this ribosomal RNA (473 nucleotides) under uncultured bacterium. RNAcentral describes it as "bacterial SSU rRNA". It matches the Rfam family "Bacterial small subunit ribosomal RNA", at positions 29 to 524 of the family's 1533-position model. The record is from RNAcentral.